CCUACGGGAGGCAGCAGUGGGGAAUAUUGCACAAUGGGGGAAACCCUGAUGCAGCGACGCCGCGUGAGUGAAGAAGUAUUUCGGUAUGUAAAGCUCUAUCAGCAGGGAAGCAAAUGACGGUACCUGAUUAAGAAGCCCCGGCUAACUACGUGCCAGCAGCCGCGGUAAUACGUAGGGGGCAAGCGUUAUCCGGAUGUACUGGGUGGAAAGGGAGCGUAGACGGCAGCACAAGUCUGGAGUGAAAUGCCGGGGCUGAACCCCGGAACUGCUUUGGAAACUGUGCAGCUAGAGUGCAGUAGAGGUAAGUGGAAUUCCUAGUGUAGCGGUGAAAUGCGUAGAUAUUAGGAGGAACACCAGUGGCGAAGGCGGCUUACUGGACUGUAACUGACGUUGAGGCUCGAAAGCGUGGGGAGCAAACAGGAUUAGAUACCCGAGUAGUC
Molecule: ribosomal RNA, 440 nt
Filed under: uncultured bacterium
Lineage: Bacteria
Description: partial 16S ribosomal RNA
Rfam family: Bacterial small subunit ribosomal RNA
Source: RNAcentral